Molecule: long non-coding RNA, 481 nt
Filed under: Elaeis guineensis (African oil palm)
Lineage: Eukaryota; Viridiplantae; Streptophyta; Magnoliopsida; Arecales; Arecaceae
Description: long non-coding RNA (EGUI_LNC030481)
Source: RNAcentral
GCUAGAUGAGUGUUUGUUGACUCCUAUAAAGAUUCAAAUAAAAAUCUGAAACAAAAGCUCAAUAAAUAUGUUUCUAGACCCUUGCUAACCCCAAUUGGUUAUUGCACCAAAUAAAGUGGGGUCCGGAAAGCUAAGGUCUAACAGAUCAGUUUGUCUUAAUAAAUUUCUAAAUUCUCUCACAUAUCUAUUAGUUUGAAACUUCUUACCCCUUUUUUUGUCAUCAGGCAAACUAAUAUAAUUAAAAUCCCCAAUCAAACUUGAGGGUGACCAAGAGAAAUUAUAAAAUUGAUUUGCUACCAUAGCUUUCUCCUUUCUAAACCAUUAGCACUUGCAUAAACAACCCCCAAGAUCCAAGUAGGACAAUUAGGUAAGAAAAUGGUGCCAAAAGCCACCUGCCUAUCCAUAUGGAAAAAAGAAAAAAUCCCAUAUAACAAUUAUUCCACCUAGAAGUCCCAUAGCAGGAAUCAUAAAGACAUCCCAU